AACGAACGCUGGCGGCAUGCCUAACACAUGCAAGUCGAACGAGACCUUCGGGACUUGUGGCGCACGGGUGCGUAACGCGUGGGAACCUUCCCUUAGGUUCGGAAUAACUCCCCGAAAGGGGUGCUAAUACCGGAUAAUGUCUUCGGACCGAAGAUUUAUCGCCUUUGGAUGGGCCCGCGUUGGAUUAGCUAGUUGGUAGGGUAAAAGCCUACCACGGCGACGAUCCAUAGCUGGUCUGUGAGGAUGAUCAGCCACACUGGGACUGAGACACGGCCCAGACUCCUACGGGAGGCAGGAGUGGGGAAUAGUGGACAGUGGGCGAAAGGCUGAUCCAGCAAUGCCGGGUGAGUGAUGAAGGCCGUAGGGUUGUAAAGCUCUUUUACCCGGGAUGAUAAUGACAGUACCGGGAGAAUAAGCCCCGGCUAACUCCGUG
RNAcentral lists this ribosomal RNA (433 nucleotides) under uncultured bacterium. RNAcentral describes it as "partial 16S ribosomal RNA". It matches the Rfam family "Bacterial small subunit ribosomal RNA", at positions 29 to 507 of the family's 1533-position model. The record is from RNAcentral.